UACGUAGGGUGCAAGCGUUGUCCGGAAUUAUUGGGCGUAAAGAGCGCGUAGGCGGACAGUUAAGUUGGGGGUGAAAGCCCGGGGCUCAACCUCGGAAUUGCCUUCAAUACUGGCUGUCUUGAGUGUGAGAGAGGUGUGUGGAACUCCGAGUGUAGAGGUGAAAUUCGUAGAUAUUCGGAAGAACACCAGUGGCGAAGGCGACACACUGGCUCACUACUGACGCUGAGGCGCGAAAGCGUGGGGAGCAAACAGG
This 253-nucleotide ribosomal RNA is filed under the name uncultured bacterium. Its description in RNAcentral is "partial 16S ribosomal RNA". It matches the Rfam family "Bacterial small subunit ribosomal RNA", at positions 524 to 776 of the family's 1533-position model. The record is from RNAcentral.